This is a long non-coding RNA of Alosa alosa (allis shad), 244 nucleotides long. RefSeq lists it as uncharacterized. The record is from RefSeq and is a predicted model, not a curated record. Lineage: Eukaryota; Metazoa; Chordata; Actinopteri; Clupeiformes; Clupeidae. The transcript has 3 exons.
CUGACCUAUACAAAGGCUGCAACAAAGUUAAUGUUUGGAAAGCCAGAAGAAGUUGAGCAGACAAAGAGAAGGAGGGAAGCUAAGGCAGCUCCAAUCAUCCCUCCACAUAGCUGAACAAUGAUGUAAGGUGCCAGCAGGAUCACCUCCAGCCCCCCGACCAGGCUUCCUUUCACUACUGUUGGAAGGUUCAGUCCAGUUUGCACACUGUGGAGGUUCCAACUCCAUAUAUGACUAAAGGAGACCU